This 1727-nucleotide unclassified non-coding RNA is filed under the name Polistes fuscatus (common paper wasp). Its description in RNAcentral is "mediator of RNA polymerase II transcription subunit 11-like, transcript variant X2". Lineage: Eukaryota; Metazoa; Arthropoda; Insecta; Hymenoptera; Vespidae. The record is from RNAcentral.
GUCGCGUAUCGAUAUAGUAUUGUGUUUACAUAUAAAUAAUCAAAUUUAUUUCACGAUAUUUACAUCUUUUUCUCUAAUACGUUCGUUUUUUAAACAGUUUCUAUUACACAAUAUUAAUAUUCAAUCAUAACUGUAUUUCUAACCAAAAAUUUUAAUUAUAUAUUAAUAAUACAAAAUUUGUUAAAAUGACCCCACCUAUGGAAAGGAUCCAAAUUUUAGAAAAUAUUGAAAAAGAUAUUAUUGUGUGUUUACAAAGUGCAGGUCAAGCAUUUAUGGAAUUAAGUAAGGAAAAAUCUAGUUUAAAACAAGCAGAAGCUCAAACACAUCAAUUUCUUAAAACUCUAGCUCAUGUGGAAUCGAAAUUGAGCGAGCAAAUCAAUUAUCUCACUCAAGUUUCAACAGGUCAACCACACGAAGGUUCUGGAUAUGCAAGUCAAAAGGUUUUGCAAAUGGCAUGGCAUAGGUUGGAACAUGCUCGGAGCAGAGUUAAUGAACUGGAGCGUAUAAAAAAUAAGCCAAGAUGAGAAAUUUAUCUAUUUAUAAAAUUUCUACUUUCCAGGAAAUAUCAACGUGUAUAUCAUAACAUGGUAUGGAACUAUCCAUAGCAGCCAUGCUACGUUUUACAGUAGCAGCUAACGAAAGUCGAGAUCUUCUUUCUUCAUCUAAUUGUUUAGUAAGUAAUGACAUUUGUGACUGUAGGUCUGUCAUUUGAUUUUUUAAAGUUUUUACAGUUUCCGAUAACGACCUAAACAAAAUACAACAUUAGAAUGAAACGAAUAUAUUCAUAAAUUAGAAAUUAAAAAUAAAGUAAAAUAAUGUACCGGUCAGCACUACUAUCCCAAUUCACACCCUUCUUGUGCAUCAAUGAUGCAUCCCGUGUUCUUUGCCAUUCGACAUCCAUCAUAGCUACAAUUUAAAAUUUAUUAAAAUAAAUGUAUAAUACAUACAUACAUACAUACAAAUAUACAGUAUGCGGCAAAACAAACAGUACUAAAAUUACAAAUACGUUUUAAAAAUUAAGAUAUGUCAUAACAUGCAAAGUAACGAUGCCAACACAUAUCUUAUUGCAUUGGUAAAGCAUGUGUUGAAAAUAUGUAUCCUCAUGGCUCAUACAUUGUUCAUAACAUUGUCGAUAAGCAUAGGUUGCAGUACUAUUUGUUUAGCCGCUUAUUAUAUAUACAUAAGAAUAUAUAAACUUACAAUUAGACUCGUUAGAAUUCAUGGUAAAUCUACUAUUGACAGAAAGACAAUAACUCUCUAUUAUUUUUAAAAUAAUUGCAUCUUCUUCGAAUUGACGGUUAUCUGUUAAAACAAGAUAUCGUAGUAAAUUACAGAGUAUUACCUAAAUAUUAUAGUUCAUUGAUUAUAUGCAUGCGUAUAUGAUAUUUACCAAAUGUCUUGAGUGUAUAUAAAGGCGGGGCUGGACGUAACGAAGCAAUACUCCAAGGCGUCUUAAUCCCUGGAGAUAAACAAUGAUCCGCUGCCGACCGUUGGCGCUUCCCGUUCGUCUGACUGUUCAUCUAUAGAAAAUAAUUUAGUUUAAACAUUAACUUUAAAAAUUUUAUUUUUUUAUUUAAUCUACAACGAACUAUAUGAAGCAUUUAUGGAGCACACGCCCUACCUACAAAAAAAUAUACUAAACUAAUAAACAAAGAAGUGGGCACAAUGCAUAUUCAUCAUCAAACGAAUGUAAAAAGGAUGAAUAAUAAUAAUUAUGAUCGUUUCUA